GAAUAACCGGAGCUCUCUGCAACGCUGAAAGAAACUGGCCAGCAACCUAGCUUAAAGGAUCCUCACAUCUGCGGCGAUGACUCUGUGCACAGACCAAGGAAGGAGAAGCCGCCGGAGCCAGUAAAGUACUCCCUUGGUGGUCAAAUUCCGGAGGGCUAAAUGUGUGUGUGCAUGAAUGAUCACAAAUAACCCUACCUGCGGUGUUGUUCAUGUGGAUGGUGACAAGACCUACUGCUGGACAGAGUGCUGCCUUUGGACUUUCCAGUGCCUCAGCAUCAGCCUGGGGAUCACGUUCUCAUCAAAGAGGGGAAAGAAGGGAAACUCGAGCCAGCCCGGGAAGGACCCUACCUUGUGCUGCUAACCACUGAGACUGCUGUUCGUAAGGUUGGAAAGAGAUGGACACAUCACACAUGAGUCAAGCAAGCACCAUUAUCCUCAGAAUCAUGGGCCAUUGUUCCUGGAUCAAGCCCUACCAAAUUAAAGCUAAGGAAAGCUUAGUCUAUCUAUCUUUUCCUUUCCCUUCCUUACCCAGUGCUUAUAUCCAUUACUAUUCCUACCACUAGCAACUCUAACCCCACUUUAGAACGCUUCUGUGGUUUAGGAGCAGAGGUCACUGGAAAGGAUCCUAUGGGCUUCUUUAAGGUGGGCUUUGUUCUCCCUCCUCCACCUCCUAUGGCUGCCCCUUUCCCAAACCUACAAAAUCAAACUAUGACUCACCUCAUGCCAAAUGACAAAAGCAAGGUCCCGGUAGUAGAAAUAGGAGACCUAAGGCAAACCAUAGCCAUUAAAACAGGGUAUAAAAAUGUAAAUGCCUGGUUAAAAUUGAUUAAAUAUUCUGUCCACACGUUAAACAAAGGCAAUUUUUAUGCUUGUGCACAUGACAGGCCAGAAGCCCAGAUUGUCCCCUUUCCACUAGGGUGGCCCUCUAGUUGACUGGGCAUGGCCUGCAUGGCAGAUCUUUCCCAGGAUUAUUCAGCCUGGGGUAACAAGUCGUGCCAAGCUCUCUCUCUGCUACAUCCCGAAGUUCAACACCCUGCGGGUCAGCCCCCAAGGGCCAUCCAGCUUCCAUCUCCCAACACUAAGUUCACUUCGUGUCUCUCAGGACCGGGAGGAAACUUAGCGUUCCUUGGAGUCCUGAAGGGAUGCAGUGAGAUUAAGAAAUUUCAAGAGCUUACCAAUUAGCCCUUACUCAUCCCUGAGCAGAUGUGUAGUGGUAUUAUGAUGGACCUUUACUGGACACUCUGCCGAGUAACUGAAGUGGCACUUGCUUUAGUCCAGUUGGCUAUCCCUUUCACGCUGGCAUUUCAUCAACCAGAGAAAGGAAAAAUAAGAUAUCAUAAAGCAAAAGAAGCCCCUUAUGGGUCUUUUGACUCUCACAUCUAUUUAGACAUAAUUACAGUCCCACAGGGAAUACCAGAUCAAUUUAAAGCCUGAAAUCAAAUAGCUGCAGGAUUUGAGUCAAUAUUUUGGUGGGUGACAAUAAAAUGUAAAUUGGAUAAACUACAUCUAUUACAACCAACAGCCAUCCAUUAACUACACUAGAGAUGCUGUUAAAGGAAUAGCUGAGCAAUUAGGGGCUACUAGCCAGAUGGCUUGGGAAAAAUAGGAUAGCCUUAGACAUGAUAUUAGCAGAAAAAGGAAGAAUUUGCAUCAUAAUUAAAAAUCAAUGUUGUAACUUCAUCCCAAACAACACCGCCCCUAAUGGAAGUAUAACAAAGGCAUUGCAAGGUCUGACUGCUCUAUCCUGAGUUAGCCAAUAACUCGGGGGUAAAUGACCCCUUUACAGGAUGGCUGGAAAAGUGGUUCAGUAAAUGGAAAAGAAUAGUAGCCCCAAUUCUUACUUCCAUCGCAGCCAUCAUAGGUGUGCUUAUUCUUGUCGGGUGUUGUGUCACACUAAGGAAGGAGACCGCUACAACUCCUGCUGCCCUCCUCCCACCACCUUGCCUAGUUCACAAGACAGGAGGAAAGAGAGAAAGCAAAAAGCUGGAAAGAAGCAAAAGUAAGAUAAAUAGCCAGACAACCUUGGCACCACCACCUGGCCCUAGGAGUUAAAAAGGUAAUAAUAAUAACAUCAACCCCAGACCUAAACUACUUGUGUUAUCUGUAAAUUCCAGACAUUGUAUGAAAAAGCAUUGCAAAACUUUCUGUUCUGUUAGCUGAUGCAUGUAGCCUCCAGUCACGUUCCCCACGCUUGCUGGAUUUAUCACGACCUUUUCAUGUGGACCCCUUUAGAGUUGUAAGCCUUUAAAAAGGCCAAGAAUUCAGUUUGCAGGGAGCUCAGCUCUUAAGAUGCAAGUCUGCCGAUGCUCUCAGCCAAGUAAACCUCUUCCUUCUUU
This is a long non-coding RNA of Homo sapiens (human), 2336 nucleotides long. The record is from Ensembl. NCBI's taxonomy places the organism in Eukaryota, Metazoa, Chordata, Mammalia, Primates, Hominidae.